RNAcentral lists this ribosomal RNA (2175 nucleotides) under Campylobacter jejuni. RNAcentral's name for it is "partial 23S ribosomal RNA". It matches the Rfam family "Bacterial large subunit ribosomal RNA", at positions 1 to 2180 of the family's 2925-position model. Lineage: Bacteria; Pseudomonadati; Campylobacterota; Epsilonproteobacteria; Campylobacterales; Campylobacteraceae. The record is from RNAcentral.
AGGUAAGCUACUAAGAGCGAAUGGUGGAUGCCUUGACUGGUAAAGGCGAUGAAGGACGUACUAGACUGCGAUAAGCUACGGGGAGCUGUCAAGAAGCUUUGAUCCGUAGAUUUCCGAAUGGGGCAACCCAAUGUAUAGAGAUAUACAUUACCUAUAUAGGAGCGAACGAGGGGAAUUGAAACAUCUUAGUACCCUCAGGAAAAGAAAUCAAUAGAGAUUGCGUCAGUAGCGGCGAGCGAAAGCGCAAGAGGGCAAACCCAGUGCUUGCACUGGGGGUUGUAGGACUGCAAUGUGCAAGAGGUAAGUUUAGCAGAACAUUCUGGAAAGUAUAACCAUAGAGGGUGAUAGUCCCGUAUGCGAAAAACAAACCUUAGCUAGCAGUAUCCUGAGUAGGGCGGGACACGAGGAAUCCUGUCUGAAUCCGGGUCGACCACGAUCCAACCCUAAAUACUAAUACCAGAUCGAUAGUGCACAAGUACCGUGAGGGAAAGGUGAAAAGAACUGAGGUGAUCAGAGUGAAAUAGAACCUGAAACCAUUUGCUUACAAUCAUUCAGAGCCCUAUGUAGGAAUACAGGGUGAUGGACUGCCUUUUGCAUAAUGAGCCUGCGAGUUGUGGUGUCUGGCAAGGUUAAGCAAACGCGAAGCCGUAGCGAAAGCGAGUCUGAAUAGGGCGCUUAGUCAGAUGCUGCAGACCCGAAACGAAGUGAUCUAUCCAUGAGCAAGUUGAAGCUAGUGUAAGAACUAGUGGAGGACUGAACCCAUAGGCGUUGAAAAGCCCCGGGAUGACUUGUGGAUAGGGGUGAAAGGCCAAUCAAACUUCGUGAUAGCUGGUUCUCUCCGAAAUAUAUUUAGGUAUAGCGUUGUGUCGUAAUAUAAGGGGGUAGAGCACUGAAUGGGCUAGGGCAUACACCAAUGUACCAAACCCUAUCAAACUCCGAAUACCUUAUAUGUAAUCACAGCAGUCAGGCGGCGAGUGAUAAAAUCCGUCGUCAAGAGGGAAACAACCCAGACUACCAGCUAAGGUCCCUAAAUCUUACUUAAGUGGAAAACGAUGUGAAGUUACUUAAACAACCAGGAGGUUGGCUUAGAAGCAGCCAUCCUUUAAAGAAAGCGUAAUAGCUCACUGGUCUAGUGAUUUUGCGCGGAAAAUAUAACGGGGCUAAAGUAAGUACCGAAGCUGUAGACUUAGUUUACUAAGUGGUAGGAGAGCGUUCUAUUUGCGUCGAAGGUAUACCGGUAAGGAGUGCUGGAGCGAAUAGAAGUGAGCAUGCAGGCAUGAGUAGCGAUAAUUAAUGUGAGAAUCAUUAACGCCGUAAACCCAAGGUUUCCUACGCGAUGCUCGUCAUCGUAGGGUUAGUCGGGUCCUAAGUCGAGUCCGAAAGGGGUAGACGAUGGCAAAUUGGUUAAUAUUCCAAUACCAACAUUAGUGUGCGAUGGAAGGACGCUUAGGGCUAAGGGGGCUAGCGGAUGGAAGUGCUAGUCUAAGGUCGUAGGAGGUUGUACAGGCAAAUCCGUAUAACAAUACUCCGAGAACUGAAAGGCUUUUUGAAGUCUUCGGAUGGAUAGAAGAACCCCUGAUGCCGUCGAGCCAAGAAAAGUUUCUAAGUUUAGCUAAUGUUGCCCGUACCGUAAACCGACACAGGUGGGUGGGAUGAGUAUUCUAAGGCGCGUGGAAGAACUCUCUUUAAGGAACUCUGCAAAAUAGCACCGUAUCUUCGGUAUAAGGUGUGGUUAGCUUCGUACUAGGAUUUACUCCGAAAGCGAAGAAACUUACAACAAAGAGUCCCUCCCGACUGUUUACCAAAAACACAGCACUCUGCUAACUCGUAAGAGGAUGUAUAGGGUGUGACGCCUGCCCGGUGCUCGAAGGUUAAUUGAUGGGGUUAGCAUUAGCGAAGCUCUUGAUCGAAGCCCGAGUAAACGGCGGCCGUAACUAUAACGGUCCUAAGGUAGCGAAAUUCCUUGUCGGUUAAAUACCGACCUGCAUGAAUGGCGUAACGAGAUGGGAGCUGUCUCAAAGAGGGAUCCAGUGAAAUUGUAGUGGAGGUGAAAAUUCCUCCUACCCGCGGCAAGACGGAAAGACCCCGUGGACCUUUACUACAGCUUGACACUGCUACUUGGAUAAGAAUGUGCAGGAUAGGUGGGAGGCUUUGAGUAUAUGACGCCAGUUGUAU